This 418-nucleotide long non-coding RNA is filed under the name Ananas comosus (pineapple). RNAcentral describes it as "long non-coding RNA (ACOM_LNC011369)". The record is from RNAcentral. Lineage: Eukaryota; Viridiplantae; Streptophyta; Magnoliopsida; Poales; Bromeliaceae.
CUAAUCCUGUAUUACAAAUCAAUCCUUAUGCAUUUUUUAAAUAAGAUUUGGAUGACUAGCAUAGCUGGUUGAUACUCUAAUUAUUUUAACUUAUUAUAUUUCUCUUUGAUAUACAGAAAUAAAAACUCGAUGAUCUAUUUAAAUAAAAGGAACAAUUUACUUUCUCUUUCUUCCUCUCUCUCUUAAAAAAAAAAAAUUUAAUAUCUUACAAAUUUUCUCAAGAUUUCGUACGUGAAAAUUGAACUCAUUAACUCCCAGCACCUAAUUAGUUGGUCUUUAUACUACUUGCAUAAAAUUUAUUUAUGAAAAUUUAAAAAAAAAUUUAAUCUACACUACAAAUAAAUAUUAUUUUUAAAAAAAAUAAUAUUAAAAAUAAAUGUAAUAAAAAUUUAGAACAAAGAUAAUAAUUUAAAUUAAA